CCUACGGGGGGCUGCAGUGGGGAAUUUUGGACAAUGGGGGCAACCCUGAUCCAGCCAUGCCGCGUGAGUGAAGAAGGCCUUCGGGUUGUAAAGCUCUUUUGGUCGGGAAGAAAGUGCUCUGCAUAAUACGUGGGGUAUUUGACGGUACCGGCAGAAUAAGCACCGGCUAACUACGUGCCAGCAGCCGCGGUAAUACGUAGGGUGCGAGCGUUAAUCGGAAUUACUGGGCGUAAAGCGUGCGCAGGCGGUUCGUUAAGUCUGAUGUGAAAGCCCCGGGCUCAACCUGGGAAUGGCAUUGGAAACUGGCGGGCUGGAGUAUGGCAGAGGGGGGUGGAAUUCCACGUGUAGCAGUGAAAUGCGUAGAGAUGUGGAGGAACACCGAUGGCGAAGGCAGCCCCCUGGGCCAAUACUGACGCUCAGGCACGAAAGCGUGGGGAGCAAACAGGCUUAGAUACCCCAGUAGUC
RNAcentral lists this ribosomal RNA (465 nucleotides) under uncultured beta proteobacterium. Its description in RNAcentral is "bacterial SSU rRNA". It matches the Rfam family "Bacterial small subunit ribosomal RNA", at positions 338 to 795 of the family's 1533-position model. Lineage: Bacteria; Pseudomonadati; Pseudomonadota; Betaproteobacteria. The record is from RNAcentral.